UCUUGCGCAAUGCGCGAAAGCGUGACGCAGCAACGCCGCGUGGGGGAAGAAGGCCUUCGGGUUGUAAACCCCUUUCAGUUGGGACGAAGCUUCGCCGGUGAAUAGCCGGCUGGAGUGACGGUACCUUCACAAGAAGCCCCGGCUAACUACGUGCCAGCAGCCGCGGUAAUACGUAGGGACCAAGCGUUGUUCGGAUUUACUGGGCGUAAAGGGCGCGUAGGCGGCAUAUUAAGUCAGCUGUGAAAUCUCCGAGCUUAACUCGGAACUGUCAGCUGAUACUGAUGUGCUCGAGUGCAGAAGGGGCAAUCGGAAUUCUUGGUGUAGCGGUGAAAUGCGUAGAUAUCAAGAGGAACACCUGAGGUGAAGACGGGUUGCUGGGCUGACACUGACGCUGAAGCGCGAAAGCCAGGGGAGCAAAC
Molecule: ribosomal RNA, 419 nt
Filed under: uncultured bacterium
Lineage: Bacteria
Description: bacterial SSU rRNA
Rfam family: Bacterial small subunit ribosomal RNA
Source: RNAcentral